CCUACGGGAGGCAGCAGUGGGGAAUUUUGGACAAUGGGGGAAACCCUGAUCCAGCAAUGCCGCGUGUGCGAAGAAGGCCUUCGGGUUGUAAAGCACUUUUAUUCGGAGAGAAAUCCCUUGGGCUAAUACCCUGAGGGUCUGACGGUACCGGAUGAAUAAGCGCCGGCUAACUACGUGCCAGCAGCCGCGGUAAUACGUAGGGCGCGAGCGUUAAUCGGAAUUACUGGGCGUAAAGCGUGCGCAGGCGGUUUUGUAAGACAGAUGUGAAAGCCCCGGGCUCAACCUGGGAAUUGCAUUUGUGACUGCAAGGCUAGAGUGUGUCAGAGGGAGGUGGAAUUCCGCGUGUAGCAGUGAAAUGCGUAGAGAUGCGGAGGAACACCGAUGGCGAAGGCAGCCUCCUGGGAUAACACUGACGCUCAUGCACGAAAGCGUGGGGAGCAAACAGGAUUAGAUACCCUGGUAGUCCACGCCCUAAACGAUGUCAACUAGUUGUCGGGAAUUAAAUUUCUUGGUAACGCAGCUACGCGUGAGUAGACCGCCGUGGGAGGUACGGCCGCGAGUAAACGUACGAANAGAGUAGAGGCGNGAGAGNGCCGACGACGACGACGAGGGAGGAGG
This 618-nucleotide ribosomal RNA is filed under the name uncultured bacterium. Its description in RNAcentral is "bacterial SSU rRNA". The stretch from base 1 to 540 matches the Rfam family "Bacterial small subunit ribosomal RNA", at positions 338 to 873 of the family's 1533-position model. The record is from RNAcentral.